This 253-nucleotide ribosomal RNA is filed under the name uncultured bacterium. RNAcentral's name for it is "partial 16S ribosomal RNA". It matches the Rfam family "Bacterial small subunit ribosomal RNA", at positions 524 to 776 of the family's 1533-position model. The record is from RNAcentral.
UACGUAGGGUGCAAGCGUUGUCCGGAAUUAUUGGGCGUAAAGAGCUCGUAGGCGGUUUGUCGCGUCUGCUGUGAAACCUCGGGGCUUAACUCCGGGCCUGCAGUGGGUACGGGCAGACUAGAGUGCGGUAGGGGAGACUGGAAUUCCUGGUGUAGCGGUGAAAUGCGCAGAUAUCAGGAGGAACACCGGUGGCGAAGGCGGGUCUCUGGGCCGAUAUUGACGCUGAGGAGCGAAAGCGUGGGGAGCGAACAGG